RNAcentral lists this ribosomal RNA (200 nucleotides) under uncultured bacterium. RNAcentral's name for it is "partial 16S ribosomal RNA". It matches the Rfam family "Bacterial small subunit ribosomal RNA", at positions 28 to 229 of the family's 1533-position model. The record is from RNAcentral.
GACGAACGCUGGCGGCGUGCUUAACACAUGCAAGUCGAACGAUGAAGCCCAGCUUGCUGGGUGGAUUAGUGGCGAACGGGUGAGUAACACGUGAGUAACCUGCCCUGGACUCUGGAUAACCCCGAGAAAUCGGAGCUAAUACCGGAUAGGACCUGGAACCGCAUGGUUUUGGGUGGAAAGUUUUUUCGGUCUGGGAUGGA